Brassica rapa (field mustard) is the source of this 629-nucleotide long non-coding RNA. RefSeq lists it as uncharacterized. Lineage: Eukaryota; Viridiplantae; Streptophyta; Magnoliopsida; Brassicales; Brassicaceae. The record is from RefSeq and is a predicted model, not a curated record.
UGUUAAUCCACUCAUUAUAGCGAAUAUAAUGAAGUAUAACUAAAUUAAUUUAUAAAAAACAACUGAACGAUGCUCAUUUACCAUGAAAGAAAGUGUAGCAUACAUUAAUACAAAUGUAGAAUAUGGUUAGAAAUUUUAAAACAACACUAAAGAUGAUAGGCUCAGUAUGUAAAGUAUCUACCAAAAACUCAAUAUUUUCGUAAGGGGUCGGUCAACACAUAGAUUUUGACAAUUUUUUUUUAAAAUAUGAUAAUAUUGUUUUAAUGCAUAAUUGCAUUAUGUACUAAUAUACGAUGAUGGUCAAAAAGGUUUGGAACAUUUUUUGUCUCCAUUUAUCUAGAUAAUAGCGAUUUUAUAAUGGUUAUUCCCCUAAUUUAGGGAGUAUAUGAAGUUUUACUAAAUUAAAUUAUAAAACAAUUGAACUUUGCUCAUUUACCAUGAAAAAAAGUUUAGCAUACAUUAAUACAAAUGUAGACUAUGGUUAAAAUUUUAAAACAACACAAAAGAUUAUAGGCUUCAGUAUAUAAAACAUUUACCAAAACAUCAAUAUUUUCGUUGGUGAUAACACAUGAAUUUUGAGAAUUUUUUAAAAAUACGACAAUAUUGUUUUAAUGCAUAGUUGCAUUCUG